GCGGAUGUGGCGUAAUUGGUAGCCGCGCUAGACUUAGGAUCUAGUGUCGUGAGACGUGAAGGUUCGAGUCCUUUCAUCCGCACCA
Molecule: transfer RNA, 85 nt
Filed under: Bacteroides sp.
Lineage: Bacteria; Pseudomonadati; Bacteroidota; Bacteroidia; Bacteroidales; Bacteroidaceae
Also listed under: 2 other names
Description: tRNA-Leu
Rfam family: tRNA
About the family: Transfer RNA (tRNA) molecules are approximately 80 nucleotides in length. Their secondary structure includes four short double-helical elements and three loops (D, anti-codon, and T loops).
Source: RNAcentral